UGGGGAAUAUUGGACAAUGGGCGCAAGCCUGAUCCAGCCAUGCCGCGUGAGUGAUGAAGGCCCUAGGGUUGUAAAGCUCUUUCACCGGUGAAGAUAAUGACUGUACCCGGAGAAGAAGCCCCGGCUAACUACGUGCCAGCAGCCGCGGUAAUACGUAGGUGGCAAGCGUUAUCCGGAAUUAUUGGGCGUAAAGCGCGCGUAGGCGGUUUUUUAAGUCUGAUGUGAAAGCCCACGGCUCAACCGUGGAGGGUCAUUGGAAACUGGAAAACUUGAGUGCAGAAGAGGAAAGUGGAAUGCAAUGUGUAGCGGUGAAAUGCGCAGAGAUAUGGUGGAACACCAGUGGCGAAGGCGACUUUCUGGUCUGUAACUGACGCUGAUGUGCGAAAGCGUGGGGAUCAAACAGG
This 404-nucleotide ribosomal RNA is filed under the name Actinomycetes bacterium. Its description in RNAcentral is "Actinobacteria bacterium partial 16S ribosomal RNA". It matches the Rfam family "Bacterial small subunit ribosomal RNA", at positions 355 to 776 of the family's 1533-position model. The record is from RNAcentral. Lineage: Bacteria; Bacillati; Actinomycetota; Actinomycetes.